RNAcentral lists this ribosomal RNA (275 nucleotides) under uncultured bacterium. RNAcentral describes it as "partial 16S ribosomal RNA". It matches the Rfam family "Bacterial small subunit ribosomal RNA", at positions 399 to 691 of the family's 1533-position model. The record is from RNAcentral.
GCGUGAGUGAUGAAGGCCUUAGGGUUGUAAAGCUCUUUCAGCGGGGAAGAUGAUGACGGUACCCGCAGAAGAAGCCCCGGCUAACUCCGUGCCAGCAGCCGCGGUAAUACGGAGGGGGCAAGCGUUGUUCGGAAUUACUGGGCGUAAAGCGCGCGUAGGCGGUUUGUCCAGUCAGGCGUGAAAGCCCCGGGCUUAACCCGGGAACUGCGCUUGAUACUGACAGACUAGAGUCCGGGAGAGGAGAGUGGAAUUCCCAGUGUAGAGGUGAAAUUCGU